RNAcentral lists this ribosomal RNA (492 nucleotides) under uncultured bacterium. Its description in RNAcentral is "partial 16S ribosomal RNA". It matches the Rfam family "Bacterial small subunit ribosomal RNA", at positions 29 to 507 of the family's 1533-position model. The record is from RNAcentral.
AGUGAACGCUAGCGGUAGGCCUAACACAUGCAAGUCGAACGGCAGCACAGUAAGAGCUUGCUCUUACGGGUGGCGAGUGGCGGACGGGUGAGGAAUACAUCGGAAUCUACUUUUUCGUGGGGGAUAACGUAGGGAAACUUACGCUAAUACCGCAUACGACCUACGGGUGAAAGCAGGGGAUCUUCGGACCUUGCGCGAAUGAAUGAGCCGAUGUCGGAUUAGCUAGUUGGCGGGGUAAAGGCCCACCAAGGCGACGAUCCGUAGCUGGUCGGAGAGGAUGAUCGGCCACACUGGAACUGAGACACGGUCCAGACUCCUACGGGAGGCAGCAGUGGGGAAUAUUGGACAAUGGGCGCAAGCCUGAUCCAGCCAUACCGCGUGGGUGAAGAAGGCCUUCGGGUUGUAAAGCCCUUUUGUUGGGAAAGAAAAGCAGCAGGUUAAUACCCCGCUGUUCUGACGGUACCCAAAGAAUAAGCACCGGCUAACUUCGUG